ACGGGAGGCAGCAGUGGGGAAUAUUGCACAAUGGGCGAAAGCCUGAUGUAGCGACGCCGCGUGAGUGAAGAAGUAUUUCGGUACGUAAAGCUCUAUCAGCAGGGAAGAUAAUGACGGUACCUGACUAAGAAGCCCCGGCUAACUACGUGCCAGCAGCCGCGGUAAUACGUAGGGGGCAAGCGUUAUCCGGAUUUACUGGGUGUAAAGGGAGUGUAGGUGGCCUGGCAAGCCAGAUGUGAAAGCCCGCAGCUCAACUGCGGGACUGCAUUUGGAACUGUUAGGCUUGAGUGCAGGAGAGGAAAGUGGAAUUCCUAGUGUAGCGGUGAAAUGCGUAGAUAUUAGGAGGAACACCAGUGGCGAAGGCGGCUUUCUGGACUGUAACUGACACUGAGGCUCGAAAGCGUGGGGAGCAAACAGGAUUAGAUACCCUGGUA
RNAcentral lists this ribosomal RNA (434 nucleotides) under uncultured Clostridium sp. RNAcentral's name for it is "partial 16S ribosomal RNA". It matches the Rfam family "Bacterial small subunit ribosomal RNA", at positions 341 to 792 of the family's 1533-position model. Lineage: Bacteria; Bacillati; Bacillota; Clostridia; Eubacteriales; Clostridiaceae. The record is from RNAcentral.